UGUUGGGGUGAGGAUUGAUUAUACGGAAUAUACAUGUCGAUUUAAAAAACAGACUACAAUUAUCUGACCAAUG
Non-coding RNA from Daucus carota subsp. sativus, 73 nucleotides. NCBI's taxonomy places the organism in Eukaryota, Viridiplantae, Streptophyta, Magnoliopsida, Apiales, Apiaceae. The record is from Rfam.